UGGGGAAUAUUGCACAAUGGGGGAAACCCUGAUGCAGCGACGCCGCGUGAGCGAUGAAGUAUUUCGGUAUGUAAAGCUCUAUCAGCAGGGAAGAAAAUGACGGUACCUGACUAAGAAGCCCCGGCUAACUACGUGCCAGCAGCCGCGGUAAUACGUAGGGGGCAAGCGUUAUCCGGAUUUACUGGGUGUAAAGGGAGCGUAGACGGCUUGGCAAGCCAGAUGUGAAAGGCUGGGGCUCAACCCCAGGACUGCAUUUGGAACUGUCAUGCUAGAGUGUCGGAGAGGCAGGCGGAAUUCCUAGUG
This 303-nucleotide ribosomal RNA is filed under the name uncultured bacterium. RNAcentral describes it as "bacterial SSU rRNA". It matches the Rfam family "Bacterial small subunit ribosomal RNA", at positions 355 to 675 of the family's 1533-position model. The record is from RNAcentral.